UACCCGCUGAAACUUAAGCAUAUCAAUAAGCGGAGGAAAAGAAACUAACAAGGAUUCCCCUAGUAACUGCGAGUGAAGCGGGAAAAGCUCAAAUUUAAAAUCUGGUAGUCUUUGGCUGCCCGAGUUGUAAUCUAGAGAAGCAUUAUCCGCGCUGGACCGUGUACAAGUCUCCUGGAACGGAGCGUCAUAGAGGGUGAGAAUCCCGUCUUUGACACGGACUACCAGGGCUUUGUGAUGUGCUCUCAAAGAGUCGAGUUGUUUGGGAAUGCAGCUCUAAAUGGGUGGUAAAUUCCAUCUAAAGCUAAAUAUUGGCGAGAGACCGAUAGCGAACAAGUACCGUGAGGGAAAGAUGAAAAGAACUUUGGAAAGAGAGUUAAACAGUACGUGAAAUUGUUGAAAGGGAAACGCUUGAAGUCAGUCGCGUUUGCCGGGGAUCAGCCUUGCUCUUUUGCUUGGUGUACUUCCUGGUCGACGGGUCAGCAUCAAUUUUGACCGGUGGAUAAAGGUCAGGGAAUGUGGCAUCCUCGGAUGUGUUAUAGCCCUUGGUGCAUACAUCGGUUGGAUUGAGGAACUCWGCACGCCGCAAGGCCGGCCUGAAUAGGUGAAGCCAGAGGAAACUCUGGUGGAGGCUCGUAGCGAUUCUGACGUGCAAAUCGAUCGUCGAAUUU
Molecule: ribosomal RNA, 668 nt
Filed under: Ossicaulis salomii
Lineage: Eukaryota; Fungi; Basidiomycota; Agaricomycetes; Agaricales; Lyophyllaceae
Description: partial large subunit ribosomal RNA
Source: RNAcentral